RNAcentral lists this transfer RNA (72 nucleotides) under Candidatus Saccharimonadota bacterium. Its description in RNAcentral is "tRNA-Glu". It matches the Rfam family "tRNA". Rfam says of the family: Transfer RNA (tRNA) molecules are approximately 80 nucleotides in length. Their secondary structure includes four short double-helical elements and three loops (D, anti-codon, and T loops). The record is from RNAcentral. Lineage: Bacteria; Candidatus Saccharimonadota.
GGAGCUAUCUUCCAGCGGCUAGGAAGCCGGAUUUUCACUCCGGUAACUGGGGUUCGAUUCCCCAUAGCUCUA